Drosophila ficusphila is the source of this 2283-nucleotide long non-coding RNA. RefSeq lists it as uncharacterized. Lineage: Eukaryota; Metazoa; Arthropoda; Insecta; Diptera; Drosophilidae. The transcript is spliced from 2 exons. The record is from RefSeq and is a predicted model, not a curated record.
UUUAUGAAUUCUUCAAUAUGUAUUUUAAAAAAUAACAUUCUCAUUUCUCAUAUAAGGCUUGAAUUGAAAAUAUUUCAGUAAUGAUUAAGAAGUAUGAAACUGUAUAAUUCAAGAUCUUGCUAAAUUUUGUUUAUAUUUAUUUAUAUUUAGUUAUCUGAAUAACUAGGAUUCACAGCUUAAGAAAAUAUUGUCUGUACUCAAAAACCUUUUCACAGCUCAAACAUAUUCUCGUUAAAGCCAGUACCAAUACUCUAUAUUUAUUUUGCUCUCUGUCCAAGUGCCGAUGCGGGUUUAUUCAACUCUUGAGGGAGAAGAUGGAAAACAGGGGGUGGGAUUUCCCAACCAUUUGGGGGGGAUGCUGCGACCGGCGAAAACUGUUGCGUGCUUUCGGGAGUGCCCGGGAAAUUGGCGCACUCGUGCACUGGGACAACAAAUAUUCGAGGGCUGAGGAGGAGUUGGGAGGAAGAGGAGGAGAUCCAGGGGUGGCUCGCCCUUUCAGGACACUCCUUGAAUCGCAUAUGCAGUGCACACGUAUAAUACCAUAUCCCCAUUCAAGCAGGGUGACUUCACACACACCGGCCAUUGUAAUGGAAAUCCAACUUUGACACGCGAUUGCUGAGGGGUUGCAAUCUGUUUAAUUGAGGUGUUUAGCACGGUGAAUAAUUAAAACAACAGAGAAACCCGGCAAACCAGACAAAGGUCACAAUAAUAAAUUAGACACGCGUCUCAGUCGAGUUGAAAUGGAGAGUAACUAGGGAUGGGAAAGGUCUCUGAUCGACUUCAGAUAUUUUCUUUACUUUCUCCACUUUUUUCCCGGAAAACUCUAUCCCUCCCGAAAUGCAUCUCCGAUUUCCCCCGAUCCCGCUCGAAUUUCACGCUGUCAUCGCUAAAUGCGAGGAGUUCUAUUACCAUUUGGGCGCAACAAAUGUGUCUGGAGCACAUUUCGUGACCAGGCACAUGUCAUUAGCCCAACCAGCCCAAACAAAUGAUGACUGCCCCACGCACUCAAUGUCCGCCAGAAAGGAACUGCUCCGCUGGAAACUGUGCCACCGUGGAAAACAUGGCAGUAAAGCCAGCGUAAUAAAGCGUUAUUAUGCCGGCCAAGCAUGAAUGUGUGCUAGUGAAAACCGAAGGCAAAGUGUCACCUGCACAGCGAAAAAAUAUUGCACAAGUAGGUCACAAGUAGCUCUAUUAAAAUUGUAAAGUAUGUAAGUUUUUGACGUGAUAUUUUAUCAAACUAAAAGUGGUUUAUAUUGUUUUCUUAACCAACAAACAUAUUAGCAUAUACAAUAAAAAAAAUAUGUAUUUCCGGAUGCUUUUAGAAAAUGUUAACAUUUUUACGAGCACCAUUUAGAAUUUAAAGUGGUGCUGUCCAAACAUUUUAUUAUGGCAACUUAAUUAAACAGCCAUUAACAAAAUUCUUGAGUGCCAGAAAAAAUUAGAAACAAUUUAAAUACAAAUACCUCCAAAUGCAUGCAAUAUUUUUCUCACUCCUUGGACUACUCACUACUGCAUCUGGAUCUUUGAGAUACAGUGGACCCGCAGAUACGAGUGCCGGCACUUGCGUAAGAGCGAACAGUGGGCUCGCAAAGUAAUGUGACAGGCGUUAAAUGCGCCGGCAAUCGAUUUGAUUUGCAGUCGCGAUGCGAAUUUAAUUGAAAUGAAAAAUAGUCGCCCAUUCGCACAGUGGGCAGUUUGCAUCUCGCACUGCCCAGUGGUCACUGGACAUUGGACAGUGGGCGUGGCAAUCUAUGGGCGGCUGCGGAGGCCGAGGACAAAGACAAACGGAGCCAAAGACACUCGAAGCCAAAAAGAGCCAGCUGUAAGGAAGUCAGUCGGUCGGUCGGUUGGCUGGAUGGCUGGCAAAUGUAAAUGCAAAUGCAAAUGCCUGGCUGCCCACGCGAAAUUAUGAAAAAUUAUGAACGCUGACCAAGUUUGAGCCGGGAAAGCCAUGGCUUUCUGGCCAAAAAGGAGCUGCUGGCCAAAAGUGCAUUUCACGCUGGCUAAUGAAACAAAUUAUAAGUGGCCACUGUCGUCGGAGUUUUUUGCGGAAACCCAUGUCGGUAAUUUAACUCUCUCCUCAGCCGAUUACGAAGACGAUCGUCAUAAUGAUGAUGAUGAUGAAUGUCUGGCGCGUGACGCAUGCGCAGGAAACAAAGAACUUAGUUAUCCAUGGGUGGAAACUAUAUUAUUUAGUGGAUCUCAAGUGAAUCAGUCUAUGGAAUUGAGUCAACUCUCUCUUAAGAAUCCCCCCAGUUCGAAAAUAUAGUGCAGAUAAGGGAA